CUUUAACUUUUCAGAUUCAAUAUAUUGCCCGCAAAAAUAUGCCUCAAUGAUUUAGCCAGGCAACCAAUCACCUCCAGAUGAUUAUAUAUACGAAUUACUACUCAAAAAAUCUUUUUUAUAAUAAAAGCUCAACACAUGGUCAUAAAUGAUAAAAAAUAUU
Molecule: small RNA, 160 nt
Filed under: Salmonella enterica subsp. enterica serovar Kentucky str. CDC 191
Lineage: Bacteria; Pseudomonadati; Pseudomonadota; Gammaproteobacteria; Enterobacterales; Enterobacteriaceae
Description: Salmonella enterica sRNA STnc590
Rfam family: Salmonella enterica sRNA STnc590
Source: Rfam by way of RNAcentral